RNAcentral lists this ribosomal RNA (681 nucleotides) under uncultured bacterium. Its description in RNAcentral is "bacterial SSU rRNA". It matches the Rfam family "Bacterial small subunit ribosomal RNA", at positions 61 to 755 of the family's 1533-position model. The record is from RNAcentral.
GUCGAACGAGCGAGAGAGAGUUUGCUUUCUCGAGCGAGUGGCGAACGGGUGAGUAACGCGUGAGGAACCUGCCUCAAAGAGGGGGACAACAGUUGGAAACGACUGCUAAUACCGCAUAAGCCCACGGGUCGGCAUCGACCAGAGGGAAAAGGAGUGAUCCGCUUUGAGAUGGCCUCGCGUCCGAUUAGCUAGUUGGUGAGGUAAUGGCCCACCAAGGCGACGAUCGGUAGCCGGACUGAGAGGUUGAACGGCCACAUUGGGACUGAGACACGGCCCAGACUCCUACGGGAGGCAGCAAUGGGGAAUAUUGCACAAUGGGGGAAACCCUGAUGCAGCGACGCCGCGUGGAGGAAGAAGGUCUUCGGAUUGUAAACUCCUGUUGUUGGGGAAGAUAAUGACGGUACCCAACAAGGAAGUGACGGCUAACUACGUGCCAGCAGCCGCGGUAAAACGUAGGUCACAAGCGUUGUCCGGAAUUACUGGGUGUAAAGGGAGCGCAGGCGGGAAGACAAGUUGGAAGUGAAAUCCAUGGGCUCAACCCAUGAACUGCUUUCAAAACUGUUUUUCUUGAGUAGUGCAGAGGUAGGCGGAAUUCCCGGUGUAGCGGUGGAAUGCGUAGAUAUCGGGAGGAACACCAGUGGCGAAGGCGGCCUACUGGGCACCAACUGACGCUGAGGCUCG